RNAcentral lists this ribosomal RNA (224 nucleotides) under Glaesserella parasuis. RNAcentral's name for it is "partial 23S ribosomal RNA". It matches the Rfam family "Bacterial large subunit ribosomal RNA", at positions 504 to 734 of the family's 2925-position model. Lineage: Bacteria; Pseudomonadati; Pseudomonadota; Gammaproteobacteria; Pasteurellales; Pasteurellaceae. The record is from RNAcentral.
UGAAGGAAAGGCGAAAAGAACCCCAGUGAGGGGAGUGAAAUAGAACCUGAAACCGUGUACGUACAAGCAGUGGGAGCCCGAAAGGGUGACUGCGUACCUUUUGUAUAAUGGGUCAGCGACUUAUAUUUUGUAGCGAGGUUAACUGAAUAAGGGAGCCGAAGGGAAACCGAGUCUUAACUGGGCGGAUAGUUGCAAGGUAUAGACCCGAAACCCGGUGAUCUAGC